RNAcentral lists this ribosomal RNA (448 nucleotides) under uncultured bacterium. Its description in RNAcentral is "bacterial SSU rRNA". It matches the Rfam family "Bacterial small subunit ribosomal RNA", at positions 355 to 825 of the family's 1533-position model. The record is from RNAcentral.
UGGGGAAUCUUGGACAAUGGGCGCAAGCCUGAUCCAGCCAUGCCGCGUGAGUGACGAAGGCCUUAGGGUUGUAAAGCUCUUUUGGCGGGGAAGAUAAUGACGGUACCCGCAGAAUAAGCUCCGGCUAACUUCGUGCCAGCAGCCGCGGUAAUACGAAGGGAGCUAGCGUUGUUCGGAAUCACUGGGCGUAAAGCGCACGUAGGCGGAUUGUUUAGUCAGGGGUGAAAUCCCGGGGCUCAACCUCGGAACUGCCUUUGAUACUGGCAAUCUCGAGUCCGAUAGAGGUGGGUGGAAUUCCUAGUGUAGAGGUGAAAUUCGUAGAUAUUAGGAAGAACACCGGGUGGCGAAGGCGGCCCACUGGAUCGGUACUGACGCUGAGGUGCGAAAGCGUGGGGAGCAAACAGGAUUAGAUACCCGUGUAGUCCCUGAGCGGGCUGGCAAGGCGCAU